This 485-nucleotide ribosomal RNA is filed under the name Filifactor villosus. Its description in RNAcentral is "bacterial SSU rRNA". It matches the Rfam family "Bacterial small subunit ribosomal RNA", at positions 9 to 496 of the family's 1533-position model. The record is from RNAcentral. Lineage: Bacteria; Bacillati; Bacillota; Clostridia; Peptostreptococcales; Filifactoraceae.
GAGUUUGAUUCUGGCUCAGGAUGAACGCUGGCGGCGUGCUUAACACAUGCAAGUCGAACGGGCGAAUUAUAUCGGAGGUCUUCGGGCCGAAGAGAUAAUAAGCUAGUGGCGGACGGGUGCGUAACGUGUGGGUAAUCUGCCUUUGUCAUAGGAAUAACUGCUUGAAAAAGUAGCUAAUACCAAAUAACAUAUCGUAUAGGCAUCUAUAAGAUAUCAAAGAGAAAUCGGACAAAGAUGAGCCCGCAUCUGAUUAGCUGGUUGGUAGGGUAAAAGCCUACCAAGGCGACGAUCAGUAGCCGGCCUGAGAGGGUGAACGGCCACAUUGGAACUGAGACACGGUCCAAACUCCUACGGGAGGCAGCAGUGGGGAAUAUUGCACAAUGGGGGGAACCCUGAUGCAGCAACGCCGCGUGAGUGAAGAAGGCUUUCGAGUCGUAAAACUCUGUUGUAAGGGAAGAUAAGGACGGACCUAAAAGAAGCCCCGG